AUAUCAGUUAUAGUUUAUUUGAUAGUCCCUUACUACUUGGAUAACCGUAGUAAUUCUAGAGCUAAUACAUGCGUCAAUACCCUUCUGGGGUAGCAUUUAUUAGAUUGAAACCAACCCCUUCGGGGUGAUGUGGUGAAUCAUAAUAAUUUUGUGGAUCGCCAGUGGCGAUGGAUCAUUCAAGUUUCUGCCCUAUCAGCUUUGGACGGUAAGUUAUGGGCUUACCGUGGCUUUAACGGGUAACGGGGAAUUGGGGUUGGAUUCCUGAGAGGGAGCCUGAGUGACGGC
Molecule: ribosomal RNA, 285 nt
Filed under: uncultured eukaryote
Lineage: Eukaryota
Description: partial 18S ribosomal RNA
Rfam family: Eukaryotic small subunit ribosomal RNA
Source: RNAcentral